GUAGUUUGGCAAUAAAUGUAUAAGUUCAACAUGUGAUGAAAAAUGUAGCUAAAUGCAAUAAUAUUUGUGAAAUGCAAAAUCCCGUGAAUCAAUUCAUGUUUGAAUGUGUCUUGCAUCUUU
This 120-nucleotide ribosomal RNA is filed under the name Coolia monotis. RNAcentral describes it as "5.8S ribosomal RNA". It matches the Rfam family "5.8S ribosomal RNA", at positions 1 to 120 of the family's 154-position model. Rfam says of the family: 5.8S ribosomal RNA (5.8S rRNA) is a component of the large subunit of the eukaryotic ribosome. It is transcribed by RNA polymerase I as part of the 45S precursor that also contains 18S and 28S rRNA. The record is from RNAcentral. Lineage: Eukaryota; Dinophyceae; Peridiniales; Ostreopsidaceae.